UAGCCACACCAUGUUGAAAUACCAGUUCCCAUAUGAUCACUGAAGUUAAGCAACAUAGAGACUGGUCAAUACCUCGAUGGGUGACCGUUUGGGAAUACCAGGUGCUGUAA
Acanthosepion pharaonis is the source of this 110-nucleotide non-coding RNA. The record is from the annotation of a GenBank genome assembly. Lineage: Eukaryota; Metazoa; Mollusca; Cephalopoda; Sepiida; Sepiidae.